Homo sapiens (human) is the source of this 765-nucleotide long non-coding RNA. RefSeq lists it as uncharacterized. NCBI's taxonomy places the organism in Eukaryota, Metazoa, Chordata, Mammalia, Primates, Hominidae. The transcript is spliced from 2 exons. The record is from RefSeq and is a predicted model, not a curated record.
CCUCCUACCUUAGCCUCCCCAGCAGCUGGGACUAUAGGCACACGCCACCACACCUGGCCUCAUUGGACUUUUAAAGCAAAAUCCAUGAAAUCCAGAUGUGGAUAUAACAUCUGGCAGGCAGCAAGACCAGCGCCUGCCAAGAACAGCAUCUCCCCAGCCCUCAUCCUAUGGUGAGGUCACUGUUCUAUGUUUCCACGGCAACCACAGGCUGGGAAGAUGGAGAAGAGGAGAGAUGAGUAACCAGAAGCCAGCCAAUGAGAUGAGCUGCAGCACCGGAUGAUCCAUGGGGCCAUGGGGAGCGGGGACAAGGGAGGCCUGCUCAGCAUGUUCAGCUGUUUCCUGGACCCUCCCUGCCAUCUGGAUGCCUCCACUAGAGAAUGUGCUACUAGCACCAGGAAAGAGCUAGAGGCUGAAGAAGCUGAGUAGAAGCUCUGCUGACCCAAGAACAUGGCCCUCCUUUUUUGCCUCUUCAGGGUCUAAGUCUAUGGUUGCUGACUACCCCCGCCCCAUCCCACCCCUAAUAUCUGCAACUGGGAACUUUUCCCAUUUGCUGGGAAUGAUGGUGGGGCUCUUUCUGCCUCUGCCUGCCAUAGAACCAGCAAGUCUUAGACAUCCCUUCUUUUUAUGCCCUUGGUCCAUGGGGUCUUUGUUACCAGAAAGGGGUCCCAAUCCAGACCCCAAGAGAGAGUUCUUGCAUCUCACACAAGAAAGAAUUCGGGGCAAAUCCGCAGAAUAAAGUAAAAGCAAGUUUAUUAGAGAAGUAAA